AUACGUAGGUGGCAAGCGGGGAAAGGAGGGAGGGGGCGUAAAGGGAGCGCAGGCGGUUUCUUAAGUCUGAUGUGAAAGCCCCCGGCUCAACCGGGGAGGGCCAUUGGAAACUGGGAAACUUGAGUGCAGAAGAGGAGAGUGGAAUUCCAUGUGUAGCGGUGAAAUGCGUAGAUAUAUGGAGGAACACCAGUGGCGAAGGCGGCUCUCUGGUCUGUAACUGACGCUGAGGCUCGAAAGCGUGGGGAGCAAACAGGAUUAGAUACCCUGGUAGUCCACGCCGUAAACGAUGAGUGCUAAGUGUUGGAGGGUUUCCGCCCUUCAGUGCUGCAGCUAACGCAUUAAGCACUCCGCCUGGGGAGUACGACCGCAAGGUUGAA
This 377-nucleotide ribosomal RNA is filed under the name uncultured bacterium. RNAcentral describes it as "bacterial SSU rRNA". It matches the Rfam family "Bacterial small subunit ribosomal RNA", at positions 523 to 898 of the family's 1533-position model. The record is from RNAcentral.